GUUGUUUCAUUUGAUGGAUCUUUAUUAGACUGUUGAUGGACGGGUUGUAAAAGUUAAUGAAGUCCAGCCUAGAGGUGGUAGAACAAACUUUGGCCGUGACAAUUUCCGUCGCAAUAAUAACAUAGAUAUGGACUUUGACGGGUAGAGAUAGAGACUGGUCGUGAACGUGAUCGUUCUAGGGACCAAAAUAAGGAAUAGUCUCAAGAUCAUGAUUAAGGUAAAGACAGAGGAUAUGAUUGGGCAUGUGAUGUUAACCGGUCUCGGGACAUGGAUCAAGAAAAGGAGAUAAGAAGUGGGAAUAAGUAUAAAGAUCAAUUUGCGGACUUGACAAACUGUUUGAGAAGGCGAAAGAAGAACUUACUAAGAAGGUAA
RNAcentral lists this long non-coding RNA (372 nucleotides) under Helianthus annuus (common sunflower). RNAcentral describes it as "sRNA HanXRQr2_Chr09g0380501". The record is from RNAcentral. Lineage: Eukaryota; Viridiplantae; Streptophyta; Magnoliopsida; Asterales; Asteraceae.